RNAcentral lists this ribosomal RNA (495 nucleotides) under uncultured Glomus. RNAcentral's name for it is "SSU rRNA". It matches the Rfam family "Eukaryotic small subunit ribosomal RNA", at positions 569 to 1070 of the family's 1831-position model. Lineage: Eukaryota; Fungi; Glomeromycota; Glomeromycetes; Glomerales; Glomeraceae. The record is from RNAcentral.
AGCAGCCGCGGUAAUUCCAGCUCCAAUAGCGUAUAUUAAAGUUGUUGCAGUUAAAAAGCUCGUAGUUGAAUUUCGGGAUCAAGUCGUCGGUCGUGCUCAGGUACGUACUGGCGUCAUUGAUUUCUCCCUUCUGACGAACCAUGAUGUCAUUAAUUUGGUGUCAUGGGAAAUCAGGACUGUUACUUUGAAAAAUUAGAGUGUUUAAAGCAGGCUCACGCUUGAAUACAUUAGCAUGGAAUAAUGAAAUAGGACGUUCGAUCCUAUUUUGUUGGUUUUUAGGAUCAACGUAAUGAUUAAUAGGGAUAGUUGGGGGCAUUAGUAUUCAAUUGUCAGAGGUGAAAUUCUUGGAUUUAUUGAAGACUAACUACUGCGAAAGCAUUUGCCAAGGAUGUUUUCAUUAAUCAAGAACGAAAGUUAGGGGAUCGAAGACGAUCAGAUACCGUCGUAGUCUUAACCAUAAACUAUGCCGACUAGGGAUCGGAUGAUGUUAAUUUU